This is a long non-coding RNA of Rhipicephalus sanguineus (brown dog tick), 402 nucleotides long. RefSeq lists it as uncharacterized. The transcript has 2 exons. The record is from RefSeq and is a predicted model, not a curated record. Lineage: Eukaryota; Metazoa; Arthropoda; Arachnida; Ixodida; Ixodidae.
CGUCGACUAGGUCACGUGACUGUUUUGAACGACGUCACGUUUUGCCUUUCCCCAACCUCUUUUUGUGCCCUCUUCGCCGUGUGUGCUAGCAUCGUUCCGUGCGGUGCGUCCUAGACAUGAGGGCCAAGUGGCGUAAGAAGCGGAUGCGAAGGUUGAAGCGCAAGCGCAGGAAGAUGCGUGAGAGGUCCAAGUAGACUGGACCCGCGAGUGGCGGAGACAAGCCUGGCUGACAGGAGAGAUGCCACAAGACGGCGACCUCGACUUCCUGCCCGCACUGUACCACCACCCGGCCACUGCAUCGGACGGUGUCCUUGCACUUACAUGACGGACCCAAGCUCUCGAUGUGCGCAGGAUACACCUCCGAACACAUUGGAUCAUCACAACUGUGCGUCCAUUAAAACC